This 253-nucleotide ribosomal RNA is filed under the name uncultured bacterium. RNAcentral describes it as "partial 16S ribosomal RNA". It matches the Rfam family "Bacterial small subunit ribosomal RNA", at positions 524 to 776 of the family's 1533-position model. The record is from RNAcentral.
UACGAAGGGGGCUAGCGUUGCUCGGAAUCACUGGGCGUAAAGCGCACGUAGGCGGCUUUUUAAGUCAGAGGUGAAAUCCUGGAGCUCAACUCCAGAACUGCCUUUGAUACUGGAGAGCUUGAGUCCGGGAGAGGUGAGUGGAACUGCGAGUGUAGAGGUGAAAUUCGUAGAUAUUCGCAAGAACACCAGUGGCGAAGGCGACACGCUGGGCCGUACCUGACACUGAGGCGCGAUAGCAUGGGGAGCAAACAGG